Molecule: ribosomal RNA, 2210 nt
Filed under: human gut metagenome
Description: bacterial LSU rRNA
Rfam family: Bacterial large subunit ribosomal RNA
Source: RNAcentral
GGGGACCACCCUCCAAGGCUGAACACUCUCCUGUGACCGAUAGCGAACCAGUACCGUGAGGGAAAGGUGAAAAGCACCCCGGGAGGGGAGUGAAACAGUACCUGAAACCGUGCGCCCACGAGCAGUCGGAGCACCUAUAUGGUGUGACGGCGUGCCUUUUGUAGAAUGAGCCAGCGAGUCGCUGGCGCGGGGCGAGGUUAACCGAAAGGGAGCCGGAGCGAAAGCGAGCCUUAACAGGGCGACUUGAGUCCCGCGCCGCGGACGCGAAGCCGGGUGAGCUAUCCGUGGGCAGGCUGAAGCGGGGGUAAGACCCCGUGGAGGGCCGAACGCACGUCGGUUGAAAACGGCGGCGAUGACCUGCGGAUAGGGGUGAAAGGCCAAUCAAACCCGGAGAUAUCUCGUUCUCCCCGAAAUAGCUUUAGGGCUAGCGUCGCGCGUUCACCGCCGGAGGUAGAGCACCGGAUGGACGAGGGGGCUUCGCCGCCUACCGAAUCCAACCGAACUCCGAAUGCCGGCGGCCCAGAGCGCGGCAGUCAGAGCAUGUGGGCUAAGCUGUGUGCUCGAGAGGGAAACAGCCCGGACCGCCCGCUAAGGUCCCCAAGUUCCAGCCGAGUGGCAAAGGAUGUGCGUCCGCCCAGACAACCAGGAUGUUGGCUUAGAAGCAGCCAUCCAUUCAAAGAGUGCGUAACAGCUCACUGGUCGAGUGGACAUGCGCCGACAAUACACGGGGCUAAGCUGGACACCGAAGCGGCGGGAUUUUGAUUUACAGAAUCGGUAGGGGAGCUUCCCAUGGGCGGAGAAGCCGGAGGGCGACCGACGGUGGAGCGCAUGGGAGUGAGAAUGCUGGCAUGAGUAGCGAGAGACGAGAGAGUAACUCGUCCGCCGUGAACCCGAGGUUUCCUGGGCAAGGCUAAUCCUCCCAGGGUCAGUCGGGGGCUAAGGCGAGGCCGGUAGGCGUAGCCGACGCGCAGCAGGCAGACAUUCCUGCACCGCGCACGCGGCGCUACGACCGACGGGGCGACGGAUGGGGGUGGCUCGGCGGGGUUCUGGACGUCCCCGUGAUGGAGCGCGGCCCGCGGACCAGGGAAAUCCGGUCCGCAUUGAGGGCGAGGCUCCGGACGAAGCACUUAAGCGAAGCGAGUGAGCCCGAGGUCCCUAGAAAAACCCCUAGGCAGGCGCGUGCGCGCCCGUACCGCAAACCGACACAGGUGGGUGGGUAGAACAUACCGAGGCGAUCGGGUCAACCAUGGUCAAGGAACUCGGCACAAUGGCCCCGUAACUUCGGGAGAAGGGGUGCCCGCGCGUACGUGAACGGACUUGCUCCGGGAGCGGAGGCGGGCCGCAGUGGAGAGGCCCAAGCGACUGUUUACCAAAAACACAGGACUCUGCAGAAGCCGCAAGGCGACGUAUAGGGUCUGACGCCUGCCCGGUGCCGGAAGGUCACGCGGAGGAGUUAGCCGAUUCGGCGAAGCCCCGAAGCCAAGCCCCGGUAAACGGCGGCCGUAACUAUAACGGUCCUAAGGUAGCGAAAUUCCUUGUCGGGUAAGUUCCGACCUGCACGAAAGGCGCAACGACUUGGGCGCUGUCUCGACCAUGGACCCGGUGAAAUUGCACUGGUCGUGAAGAUGCGACUUACCCGCGGAAGGACGGAAAGACCCCGUGAACCUUCACUGCAGCUUGGCAUUGGCCGCUGGUCCCGCGUGUAGAGGAUAGGCAGGAGGCAUCGAUCCGGAGGCGCCAGCCCCCGGGGAGCCGCCCUUGGAAUACUGCCCUCGCGCGACCGGCGUCCUAACCCGAGGCCGUCAACCGGCUCGGGGACCGUGCCAGGCGGGCAGUUUGACUGGGGCGGUCGCCUCCUAAAGGGUAACGGAGGCGCGCGAAGGUCCGCUCGGGACGGUCGGCAACCGUCCUUUUGAAUGCAAGAGUACAAGCGGGCUUGACUGCGAGGCCCACAAGCCGAGCAGGUGCGAAAGCAGGCUCUAGUGAUCCGGCGGCCCCGAGUGGGUGGGCCGUCGCUCAACGGAUAAAAGGUACUCCGGGGAUAACAGGCUGAUCUUGCCCAAGAGUCCACAUCGACGGCAAGGUUUGGCACCUCGAUGUCGGCUCAUCGCAUCCUGGGGCUGGAGCAGGUCCCAAGGGUACGGCUGUUCGCCGUUUAAAGCGGUACGCGAGCUGGGUUCAGAACGUCGUGAGACAGUUCGGUCCCUAUC